UACGGGAGGCAGCAGUGAGGAAUAUUGGUCAAUGGGCGGAAGCCUGAACCAGCCAAGUCGCGUGCGGGAAGACGGCCCUACGGGUUGUAAACCGCUUUAGCCGGGGAGUAACGUGCGGCACGUGUGCCGCAGUGAGAGUACCCGGAGAAUAAGCAUCGGCUAACUCCGUGCCAGCAGCCGCGGUAAU
Molecule: ribosomal RNA, 187 nt
Filed under: uncultured rumen bacterium
Lineage: Bacteria
Description: partial 16S ribosomal RNA
Rfam family: Bacterial small subunit ribosomal RNA
Source: RNAcentral